Molecule: ribosomal RNA, 253 nt
Filed under: uncultured bacterium
Lineage: Bacteria
Description: partial 16S ribosomal RNA
Rfam family: Bacterial small subunit ribosomal RNA
Source: RNAcentral
UACAGAGGUGGCAAGCGUUGUUCGGAAUUACUGGGCGUAAAGAGCGCGCAGGCGGUCGGAUCAGUCGAAUGUGAAAGCCCCCGGCUCAACUGGGGAGGGUCAUUCGAUACUGUCCGACUCGAAGGCAGGAGAGGGAAGCGGAAUUCCCGGUGUAGUGGUGAAAUGCGUAGAUAUCGGGAGGAACACCAGUGGCGAAGGCGGCUUUCUGGCCUGUUCUUGACGCUGAGGCGCGAAAGCUAGGGGAGCGAACGGG